UGUAGCAACUAAGCAUUCUAGUGUUAAUGUGGCCCUUUUCUUGAAGUACAGCUUCGAGCGACAACUGUGAUUCUAAAGCCUGUCAUGCUGAAAUAGAGAACGACAUCAGGAUUCCGUUCCAGUUUUUCCAACCGACAACUGCUUACCGAGAAAUUCAAUUAAGGACUCCUCUUCCCACUCGCCAGGGCGGAUCUUCCGGGCAACUCGCCCCAUGUAAGAAAUUGGAAAAUGCAACAAUAAAACAAGAAAAACUGAAAAAAGGUGCCAACUUUGAUCAAGUAUGCUCUCUCACAGUCCACCCUAAACACACAUACCCCUUAGUUGGAAUUGGAAAGUCACCGAAAGACAGCGAAGUAGCCUACAGAUCAUUCAAGGGAAGCCAUCUCCCAUAUUAAAAAUGCCAGUGGUAUUAGCGCAGAAGGAUCCAGCUGCCAAAUGAUUUCCCAUCAGCAGCCAUGAGCACAGUCCAGACUGUAGCUCAGCGGUAGGCUAGAGUUGAGCCGGAGGUGCUGCCCAACUGACAUAUGAAGUAAGUCUCUAUAUGGAGUGACUUGGUUCCUUACUGGAAGAGAAAACAAG
Molecule: long non-coding RNA, 579 nt
Organism: Coregonus clupeaformis (lake whitefish)
Lineage: Eukaryota; Metazoa; Chordata; Actinopteri; Salmoniformes; Salmonidae
Exons: 4
Source: RefSeq, a predicted model, not a curated record